GAUUUUUAGUAGUUACUUUAGCUCUUGAACUUGGAGUUAUCACACUCACUUUUGCCAUUUUAUCCUGAAAGUCAUGGAUUGAGAAUACUUAUCAUACUCAUCCAGGGAUCCCUGAAAUCAAUGGUAUUAAGUGGAUGGUAGAUGGUUCUAAGAGUUAGAAUUGGGAUCAGCAGUACAUAACAGAAAAUCUCAAAAUAGACAGUGGCUUAAACAAGAUAGAUGUGUCUUAUUUCUCUUACACACAAAAGGAGUACAAAGGUAGGUAUUCUAGAGCUGAUGAGGUGCCUCUACAGGGUCAUGAAGAACCCAGAAUCCCUCCGGGCCUCUGUAUCAUCAUUUCUGUUCUGUAGUCCUUGUUUGUGAAAAUGUAGCAAAUGAAGGACACUCUCUUUUAAGGGAUUUCUCCCUGCAAACUCCACUUAACAAUUACAUUUGCAUUUCAUUGGCUGAAACUUAAUGUUAUAGCUAAAGUUGGCUGCAGGAAAGGCUGAGAAACGUGCCUUUAGUUGGGCAGUAAUGUAUCCAGCUAAAAUUUUGAUUUCCUAUGGCCAGGAAACAAAACAUAAGUAAUGGGAAGUAGCUAGAAAUUUCUUGCAGAAUAUUGCAGUAAGAAGUUGAAAAGCUUCUGUGAAAUAAUGCCUAAUCUUUGGGAAACCUAUGUUUGUGUUCUUUAAGUUUUCUAUUUCUAAGGGAAUGCAUGUAAUAUAUGUAGGUUAUAAGCUUAUGUUAUCAAAAUCAUGUAUUAGUAAUGCAGGACUUGCAAAAACUGAUCACACAAAGUAAUGACACAGCAGAAGUAAGUUUAGAGGACAGACUUACUACUGUUCUCAGCAUGUUCCCAUCUGCUGACACUCAAGAAGUUACAUGCUAUAAUAUUGUGGGCAACACACACAUACAGCCACUUUCAGAUUCCGCUACAAACAAAAGACAAGGGUAAAUGCAAAGGCAAGAUAAUUCUAGGUGUAUGGGAGACCCAUCCACCUAAUAAGCUGAACAGAUGGCCCUAGUACUGGUUCAUGGGAAAAGCCUAUUUCCUCGAUGGCUUAAGAGAAAGCUUAUACUUAGUACUACACAUCUGUGAAAAGCAGUUUUGCAGAAUACUAUGAUAAAAGCCACUGAAUGCUGAAGAGGCACAGGGCACAAGUGCAGAUGAAGGUAGAAUUUAGGAGGAAAGGCCUAUAGGGUGAGAGUACUGAGGUCUGCUGGAGAGAGGUUUCCAGUCAAGAAGGCAAAUGAAUGAUUCAGACUGGCUGAGGGUCCCACUAAAUCCUUUUCUCCUCACAAGGUUAGUGUCAAACACCUAUUAGAUUUAGCAGAAAAGAUGUGUAAUCCAUUCACCUGUUGCUCCAGAAAUAGUCACAGUAAGGAUCGGAGUCUUAUCUGUCAGUCCAUAAAAGCCAAAUGAUGAAAAUUUAAACAGAAACAAAAGGCAGAAUCACAGACACCCACUUGUGGAUCAGACAAAAGACACCUCUCCUGGGGUCUUUUGUCCUCCAGUCCAGCUGUAAGCGAAACCCGGGUCAGGUCCACACCACAUGUUGCUGACAGUCGUCGAGUGGCCCUGGAUGACCUGACUCUUCUCAGGGAUCCCUGUGAAAAAUGCAACCUUAUUGACUUUCCAGUUUUAUUUAGUCUCACUCCAAGGGAUGGAGCCAUCUUUUCACUGACCUGAGACAACCCCUUUGCAGCUGUGGUCUUGAGAAAAUCCUCCAUAAGCCCUCUGGCAAAGACAGGAAUGGAAUCAUGACAGAAUCAGAAAAGUUCACUUGCAUGAGGUCCCAAAGUCCCCUCAGAUGGUUGAGGAGAAGCCAAGUGAGGAGAGUGAGGGGUCAGUGCUUGUCCUCAGAGCUGAACCACCCUUAAGCCCAACCCAACGGCAUUCCUCACCAGGUACAAAGAGAACAGUACUGAGAUUUAGACCAGGUGUAUUAUUAACACUAUUGUAGGAGGGUGAUAACCACACACCCACCCCCCACCCCCCAACUCUACUUUCGGAUCUCAAGCCUUUCCAAUACAGCUUCUGGUUUCCUAGGCUUUGUCCUCCUCUAAUAACAUGUCUAGGCACAAUUAAAGAGGCUUCAUACACCACAGCUCUUUAUCUACUUGCAGGGCAGGCCAAAGUCAGUACCUACUCACCUUCUUAUUUCCCCUUGCCGUUACCAAUGAGCUGUGAUAGGAACAUGUACAAGUAGACAGGAGCUACCACCAAGCUGCAGCAGAGACUAAUGAGUGAAGACAGUCUCAGCUGUGAAAGUCUGGCCACCUAUUAAUAAAAAACCAUAGAGAUCCACAAAAAGGAGAUGGACAACACUUUUUAAACUUUUUGUGGGUAACUGUAAUACUCAAUUGUUCAGUUAACAUCUAUUGAUGCCCAUCUUAACCAGGCACUCAAGUAGCAGCUAGGGAUGCAAUAGUGGAUGAGACAGAUGGCCUCUCCCAUCAUGGAACAUACAUUCCCACGGGGAAACCAUGAGCAAGGAAUUAAUUGCAGGGGUACUAAAUUGAGACAAGAAAGUAUCAAGUUUUAUCAAGUAUAUUAUAAAGGCAGUGACUCAACCUAUGGUUCAGGAAAGGCUUCUCUGGGAUUGUGUGUUUGUAAUGAAAAUUAAGUUGAUAUGCGAAGGAUGUUAAUUAACAGGAGUUAAUUAUCAAAGACGGUGCUCCUGGCAGAGGGAAAAAUGGGGGGGGGUGGUCCCGAGGAAGAAGAGGAAACAUGGUAAUAAGAAAGAAAAAUGUGGUGUACACACACACACACACACACAGUGGAAUAUUAUUCAGUCAUAAAGAACAAGGAAAUCCUGCCGUUUGUGACAAAGUGGAUAGAUGUUGAGGAGAUGUAAGGUACAGCAAGGUGACUACAGUUAGAAAUACUGUAUUGUGUAUUUAAAAGUUGCUAAGAGAGUAGGUCUUAGAAGUUCUCCCCACAAGAAAAAAAAAUUUGUAACUACAUGUGGUGAUGGAAGUUAACCAAACAUAUUGUGGUGAUCAUUUUGCAAUACAUACAAAUAUGAAAUCAUUAUGUUGUACACAAGAAUACAAUCUUAUAUGCCAAUUAUAUCUCAAUUGUUUAAAGAAAGAGAUGGAGGAAGGGAGGGGAGGAGGGAAGAAGGGAGGGAGAGGAGGAAGGAAGGAAGGAAGAAGGAGAAAAAGAGAAAGAGAAAGAGAGAGAGAGAGAAAGAAAGAGUGAUUCUAGAGCACUGCUAAGAGCGAACAUCCCUACCUGAGCCUGAGGGGGCUGGCAGGCUUUCUUAAGGAUUUCCAUACAACACGGACAAAGAGAAGUUUGCAAAAGCUUCCAGAUAGGGAAAGAAAACUAAAUGCACAUUCCCUUCUUUUUCUUGCUCCUUACCUCCUGAUUUGACAUCUCUUGCCAAUGAGCUUCACAUUUUAGGGCAAACUAAGAAAAAUCAAGCUGACCUUCAAGCUUUGUGCAAAAUGAAACGCUUAUUUGACAUGACUACAAAGCAAAUGUUCAGAAUUAUAAAAACAACUAAUGUUUUCCUCAGAAUGAAUACAUCCAUAAUUCAGUAGAUUUAGCCUUGGCACUUGAACUCAGUUAUCUCUAAAAACACGUGCAGAUAUUUCAACCUCCUGAUUUAUAUGCAUUCAUAGCUUUCUACAGAAGGCAACACAUACAUGCCAAUUUUCAGUAGUGGAAGGAAAACGUGUUUCCCUGAAUCAAGAAAUAACUUUAUUAGGCGUAUAAGAACUCAUUAAUGGAAAAGUAAAGCAUCCUCCUUUCCUAUAAAAUUGGAUAUCAUGCCUUCACUUUUUGAAAGAAAAGUAUAAAGACAUGGAAUCCAUCUAUAGCCAUGAACAUAAGAUAAAAAGAGAAGGUACCCCACAAAGACUUUUAACUAUGAACGCAUUUAUUUAAAAGUUCCUCAAUCUGUCCCUCCUGAAAAUAUAAGCAAUUGAGACUUAAAGCGUUUGUACCUAGUUGUGGAAAACUAGAUGGAUCACUUCAAUUUCUCUGACUACUGGCCUCAUCAUUUAUAAACUAGAGGAAAUUCCUGUUCUUCUCCUUAGUGAUCAAUGUGAUGUUUGUGAAAGAAUCCUGGAAAAAUUUGAAACACAUAUAUACUCUAUGUAAAAUAAAGGUUAAUGAUUUGUAAAUUAAAGCCUAGCAAUUAAAAAAAAAUAGUUGGUACCUAUUUUCCAACCCCUAUUUAUCUAGAGUGUUUAGAAGGCAAAGCUAUUGAGCUUAUAUGACACAAACUUACAAUCUUCAAACACAGCUCCUUGUCCUCCUGGUACACAGCUAAACUAAUACCCUGCCACUGUGAGGUGAGUUCAACAAAAUGUUAAUGGAAGUAGUGUGGGCUAUUUCUAGGCCUGGCCCAUAAAAUUUUCCAACAGGCCAUUGACCAUGCUCUUUUACCUUUCAUCAGCUUGAUGAAAACAAGCACACUGACCUUGGAAAUUACAUUAAUGAAGAUGGUGGAGCCGUGAGACAGAGAGAACCUGGGUCUCUGUAUCAAGGCUUGCAGAAGAGCAGCCAAUCAGCUGCUCACACAUCUGACUCUGGGUUCAAUCUUCAAUUCCAGCACAUGCCAAUUUUCCUUUCCUGAGCUCUGCUGUGAUUUAGAAUUUUUGGACUCUACUUUAUUCAGCAUUUCCAUAGAACUGCAUUAGGAGAACAUUGCACAUGAAUUGGUUCAAUCUACCACAUCACAAUCAAAACUAUAUCUUCUUGUUUGUUUUUUGUCUUUUUAGGGCCAUACCCAUGGUAUAUGGAGAUUCCCAGGCUAGGGGUCGAAUCAGAGCUGUUAUGUACUGGCCUACCCCACAGUCACAGCAACGCCAGAUCCUUAACCCACUGAGCGAGACCAGGGAUCAAACAAGAGUCCUCAUGGAUAUUAGAUUCAUUUCCACUGAGCUACGAUGGAAACUCCCAGAACUAUAUUAAUAACCUGGCCUCUUGUCAAAAUCAACACCUAUCAUGUCUCCCUGUAUUUACUACAAUUGAACUCUUGGCUUGAUUAUUGGACAUGGGUUUCUUACCUUCACAAACAUUGUGGAUUGGUCUGAUGAAAAGAAAGAAUUUAUACUCUAUGUGUCCCCAUCUUGGAAGAAGGAGGAAGGGGAUAUCUCUACUUGGAGCACAAAAUUUUCAUGUGAUCAGUCCUAUGUUUCUGAGUAGGAUACAAUUGUUCAAAAUUAUAAUACCACUUGUUAAUUUAUAAGAGGGGAAAAUUGCCUAAGAAAUCAUGUAGGAAACAUGGAAACAUAGGAAAAAGGGAAAAGUGGAGGGUGGUAGAGCAAGAGGGGAAUUACUCUUGGGGGCAGGGAGGAAGCAUGUAAUCACAGUGUAACUAGCAGUUAGAUGUUGUAGAUUCACCAUCUACAAGAUGUGUGACCUUGGUCAAGUUACUAAACCUCUCUGAACAUGAGUUUUCAUAUCUAUGAAUAUAAAAUGAUAAUAUUAGCUAUCUCAUAAGUUAUUAUGUGGGCAUGAUAACACAUGCAAAUUGCUUUAAAUGGGGCCCAGAAUAAAACAAACACUGAAUACAUGCUAAAUAAUAUUAUUUACAAAUAAAGAUUUUAAAAAGAAAUAAGUGUAUAUGAUAAAAUCACAAAAUAAUUUGCAUAUGAACAUCAUAAAUACAUUGUCAUUUAAACAAAAAUUGAAUUACACUUUUAACUUUCAGGAGAAAAAAAUUACUCUGGGAAGUUCCUAUCAUGGCUCAGUGGAAAUGAAUCUGACGAGCAUCCAUGAGGCACAGGUUCGAUCCCUGGCCUCGUUCAGUGGGUUAAGGAUCCGAAGUUGCCAUGAGCUGUGGUGUAGGUCGUGGAUAUGGCUUGGAUCCUGAGUUGCUGUAGCUGUGGUGUAGGCCAGCAGCUGUAGUUCUGAUUAGACCCUUAGCCUGGGAACCUCCACAUGCUGUAGGUGCAGCCCUAAAAAGACAAAAAAAAAAAAAAAUUCUGGA
RNAcentral lists this long non-coding RNA (5930 nucleotides) under Sus scrofa (pig). RNAcentral describes it as "lncRNA (ENSSSCG00040065226.1)". The record is from RNAcentral. Lineage: Eukaryota; Metazoa; Chordata; Mammalia; Artiodactyla; Suidae.